UUUCCUUUAAAACUUUUGAAAAUACUGCUUUUCUUCAUAAUAGUAUUAUUCAUAAUAGUCCCAAAUUAGAAAACAACCUAAAUGUCUAUCAACAGUAGUACAGAUAAAUAAACUUUUCCUAUAUUUCUACAAUACAGCAAUGUUUCUAACUGGAAACGAUGUUGCCUCCCAGGAGACAUUUGGCAAUGUCUGGAGAUAUUUUUUUGGUUCUCAUAACUUGUUGGGAGAGGGAAGAGGAUUGCAAUUGGCAUCUACUGGGUAGAGACUGAGGACGCUGCUAAAUAUCUUGCAUUGCAUAGGACAGUCUUCCCAUAAAAGAAUUAUCUGGCCCAAAAUAUAAGCACUGCUGAGGUUGAGAAACUCUGCUCUAUUAUCAGUGAGAAUAGAUGAACAAUUGCUACAUGGAUGCAAACACAUAACUCCCAUAAACAUAUGUUGAGCUAAAGACGCCAGAUACAAAUUAGUAUAUACAGUGUGCAUAUAUUUAUGUAAAAUUCAAAAAUAGAAAAAAACUAAUUCAUGGUGUUAGCAGUUAGGAUGGAGUUGUCUGUGGGGUACAAAUGGUGACUGGUAAGGGCCAAUUAAAAGGGCCUUUUAAUAUGAGGGUUAGUUACACAGAUGUAUUCACAUUGUGAAAAUCAAGCUGUGUUUUAUAAAUGGUGAGAUAGAAAUAUAUAAUUAUUUACAUAUAUAAUUAUACAUUAUGUGAUAUAUAAAUUUUAUAUAUGUAUAUGUAUAUAUACAUACUUAUAUUGGAAUAAAUGUUUUUCAGAAUUCCAUUGUCUGCUUUUAAGAGAUGAUCUGUUCUUCCUCUUUGGAAGCAUUUUCUCUUUGUUUUUGAUAUCCUAAGCUAUCAUUUUAACGUGACUAAGAGUGGGUUUAUUCAUACAUAUCUGUUUGUCACUCUACGAAACGUUUUUUGUAAAUUUUUAAAUGUUUAUUUAUUUUUGAGAGAGAGACAGAGUGUGAGCCGGGGAGGGGCAGAGAGAGAGGGAGACACAGAAUCCAAAGAAGGCUCCAGGCUCUGAGCUGUCAGCACAGAGCCCAACGUGGGGCCCAAACUCACGAACCACAAGAUCAUGACCUGAGCCAAAGUUGGACACUUAGCUGACUGAGCCACCCAGCCACUCCACUGUGAGAUCUUUUAAUCUAAAGUCUAUUCUUUCUUUCUAAUCUUGGGAAAAAAUUUUAGUUAUUGUUUCUUCAAAUAUUUUCUUACCUAUGCUCAUUUUUUACCCCUUCUGGGAUUUUUAUUAUCUAAAUGCUGACAGGUCUGCUUCUCUCUUCCAUAUAUGUCUCGUAGCUUCUCUUCUAUAGUUUAUUAUUUUUUCAUCUCUUCCCAGUUAUUCCUCUGGAUGAUUGUCUUGACUGGAAUUUCCAGUCUCACUAAUUCAUUCUUCAAGUUUAUUCAGGCCAUUGAAUGGGUAGGAACAACCGUUGAGUGGUCUUGAGCUAUUUUCCCAUAAAGGCAAACAAAAUGGAAAUAAGGUUGACAGGAAAUACACAGUUUCUUAAAAAAAAAAAAAAAGUAAAAAUAAAUAAAAUAAGUUUCUGCAUUCUGUUAUUCAACCAAUCUAUAAAGUUCCUUUUUAAAAAAAAAACAGCAUUGGUUUUUAAUUUAAUAUUUUAAUAUUUAAUUGAUAUUAAAACAGUUAAUAUUUUGCAAACCAGCUUCGCUAAUUUUUUUUAUUAUUUUUCAACAUGAGUAUUUGUUCUUGAGUCAUUUUAUAAACUCUUCUAUAUUUUUGAAGAUAUUUGUUGUGCUUAUUUGAAUUGUCUGUUCUGGCCCUUCAGCUGGGCUUUAUCUGAUAUUCAUUGGCUACCCUUUUGACUUUCUUUUGUGGUGUUGCUCGCCUCGGUUAUUCUAAUUUGUGAUCACACACACCAGCUUUCCCCUUGGGGGCUCAUCGCCUUGGUUGGGAAUGUGUGUCCAGGCGGAGGGCUGAAAGGACUGGCCCCUGUUGUGUUCUGCAAAGUUUUAAGAAUGGUCGGACUGUGGUGAGGGAGCCAGCAGCCCUUUGUUAGUUUAUCAUGUUGCUGGAAACCAGAAACAGCAGUGAGAAUGGACUUUAAAAGCAGCCUCUUGAAGACUCUUAAAUAUGGAGAACAAACAGAGGGUUACUGGAGGGGUUGUGGGAGGGGGGUGGGCUAAAUGGGGAAGGGGCAUUAAGGAAUCUACUCCUGAAGUCAUUGUUGCACUAUAUGCUAACUAACUUGAAUGUAAAUUUAAAAAAUAAAAUUAAAAAAAAAAACCCAGCCUCUUGAUAACCAUGUGACCUCAGGCUAGUUAUUUAAGUUUGGACAUCUGUGAAAUAUGGCUGAUAGUGGGUUGCUUCAGAGGGUUAUUGUGGGUUGGCACAGCACUGGCACAUAGUAUCAGUUCAUCAUAUGAGCUAUUGUUAUUAUGACAGGGUGUAGGCCAUCAUCAGUGGGGAGCUGAGGCUGGUAGUUGGAAUUGUGGAUUUGAAUGUCACAUCCCUGUGGUAAUGAAGAGUGAGGAAUUAAGAUGGUAUAGGGAGGGGUCCUGGCAUUUAAGGGUUAGUGGACAAAGAAAGAAAAGGAGAGGGAGAGGGAGGGUGUAUCUCAGGAAGAGAUUGGGCCACAGAGCCAGGGGAAAGGAAAGUCUCAAGAAAAGGAAGGGGGUCAUCUGCAGAACCAGAGGCUCUGGAGAAAACAAAUUUUUGUUUUUAUUUUUUUUUUUUAGCAGUCAGAUACUCCUUGGUGAAUUUAGAUCAGUUUUAGUGGAGAGGAGGGGACAGAAGCCAGAUUAUAGCCAGUUGGGAAAGAAAGAGGAAGUAAAGAAGUAGAGACAUGUAUAGACCUUUCUUCCCAAAUAUUUGGCUGUGAAAAAAAGGAAAGAGAUUAAGGCGAUGGCUGGGAGAAGUGUCCAGUCAGAAGAAACACAAGUGGGUUUGUUUCUUGUAGGUAGAGAGCCAACUCCAUCUCUCCCAUAUCUUUCCCCUUCCUUCUUCCCUUCUCCUUCACCCCUUUCCUCUUCCUUCCUUCUAGUUCUCUUCUCUAAGCUAAACUUUGGAUCAUUCUGCAAAUGAAGCAGGUGACUAGGAAGCUCUGGGAGAGAGAGUGCAGCCAACUUGAGGAGGGCAGGGUGAACAGGGAACAGCACUUGCCCUGAGGAGCAGAGCAAUGGGGUCCCAAGCCCAGGUGUGCCUUGGAUCCUUGCCCGUUGUUGCAGGUGGGGAGGAGCCGUAUCAGUGUAGGUAGGUUUGCGAUGGGGAGAAAUGGGGUAGGGGAGGAAAGUAAUCAGGGUUUCUGCCAAUGUAUUUAGUUUGGUUUAUUAAGAACCUCAGGAGUCUUGAAAUGGGCAUCUUCAUCUUUCCCAGAGAUGGGUAAUAUUCUCCUCUCACAGAGCUCUGCACAAGACUGGGAUAAAGUGAUGUGUGUGGAAGGCCCUUGUGAGCUGUGAGCUGUGCAUUGCUGGCAGAGGAAAGGCAGUCACUGAAAAUAUCUAAUUUUGCCUGAUUAUUGGCUCAGAUGAUGCCAGGACUCCAUUACACAGUGAUGACCCCUGGGGGCACGCAGGCACAGGGUCCAUGGUGUGGCCCAUCCUUUUUGGAGUGAUUUUAAGUAUCAGCAGACUAUUAUGAGGUUCCCCCUGAUUACUUAGAAAUGAGGGAAUCAGACUGCCUCCUACAGUCCAAUACUGAAAUGAACACACAUUGAAGUGCAGGUGGAGGGGGCUGCGUAGAUCCCAGCCUCAAAACCUUUCACGCCCACUAGAUGUCUUCACAGGUUGACUCGUGACAGGUAUUUUGGGCCCAGAUGCUAUUUGUGGAGAUAACAUCUCUACCACUUGGGUCUCUUAGAUUCUGUUUUCAGCUACUUGUUGUAUUUGUGUGUGUGUGGGAGAUGCAUACGUGUGUGUGUAUGCAUCUGUGCAGAUGUGCACAUGUAUUUAGGGGGUGGGAUCUAUCCGCUAUAUGCAGAAGUGCCAAAAAGAAAGAAUGGUAGGUGGAGGGUGUACAGCAUUCUUGAUCUUCUAAUAUUCUGAUUGAAAAUACCCAUAAAGCUGAGAACAAAAGGCAUUAAGAGCCCUCAAUUUCUAAAGGGAGGAGCUAGACCAGUUAUGCAGAACAUGCCAAAUGGGGAUCAAAAAAUCUGGUUCCAUUGCUGCUUUGGGAGUAUAAAGAGGCAUGUAAAUGAUGGAGAGAGAGUGACCAAGAGCAGGAAUCCCUGCCCACACAUACCUCAAAGGAAGGGCAGGAGGCUCCCUGAGAACCACUGAGAGAAUGUGGUAUCACCUUGAGUUCAGAGGGCAAUCUGGAACAGAUGCCUAUUCCUUCCUAAAACUGAAAGCAAGAGGUCGUCUAGGGGUGCCUGGGUGGCUCAGUUGAUUAAGCAUCUGACUCUUGAUUUUGGCUCAGGUCAUAAUCUUGUGGUUUGUGAGUUCAAGCCCCGUACUGGGCUGCGCGCUGAUAGCAUGGAGCCUGCUUGAGAUUCUGUCUCUCUGUCUCUCUCUGCCCCUUCCCUGCUCUCUCUCUCUCUCUCUCUCUCUCUCUCUCUCUCUCAAAAUAAAUAAACUUAAAGAAAAAAGAGGUUGGCUAGAGCCUGCCUGAGGAAUCAGAGCUACCAUGGGUGUGUGGUGGGCUUCCAGCAAGGACCCUGAAAAGGAAACCCAAAGGAUACUGUCCUUGGGAUUGGGUCUCAGGGCACAAGACAGAGACAGCAGUGAUUAGGUUGGCUGGUGUGUGUGUGUGUGUGUGAGUGUGUGUGUGUGUGUGCAUGUACACAUGCAUGCUUGUGUGUGAACUGGAAAUUUAUUCUCCCUAGGCACUGUUGGGAGAUACUCAUUAUGCUCAGUUUCUCAUUCAGAGAGGUGCAUCUUGCAGUGGCCUCAACGCUUCCCACUAGAAUCGUCUUCUGCCUCCAGAAUUCUCUGGAGGUGACUAGACUAGAAGGAAACCUGGUGCCUCAGAGCCUACGCAUUUCAGCAGCUUCUCCUUGUCUUCCAAUCCUCAUAUAGAAAUAGAGGCAGGGUUGUUGGGCCUGUCUGGGCCUGGUAGCCAGGGAUAUGGCCCUUCCUGACCUCCACUCUCCUCGAACCUCCAGACGUCCUACUCUUGCUCACCAGUUUUCUAACCUGCUAUCCCAGGCCAGAGAAAUGAGGUAACACAGCUGCCACCAGUGCUGCCCAGUGCUGAGCGCAGGAGCUGUGAGGUCGGGGCUGCCAGCAGAAGUGCUGGCCCAGCUGAAACAAGGACCAAAGAGUGGGAAGGGUCACCAUGUACCACACUUUGGACAGAGAGUGUGAAGUCCCAGUACUACACAGAGAGGGCUGCUUCCUCGAGAUUUCUCAGCCCUCUUUGGAAGCUCUCAAAGAGCCCAGGAGUGCUGGCACAUGCUAUGACUCGGGCUCCCCUUCUGUAGCCUGCAUCUCAGAUCGAGUGGGACACACUCACAUUAUUAGGCCUUUUGUUCAGAAAGGGUUGCACAUUUCAUCAGCCUACAGGAUUCUAAGCCUGGCUUUAUCACUUAACAGCUGUGCGACUCUGCUUACGUGUGUGUGUCACUUCCCCUCUCUGAGUCUCGCUUUCUUCAUCCUUGAUCAGAUCUAUUCUAAACGGUUGCUGGAGGAAUAAAAUGAGAUAACACACAUAAAGUGACUUGCACAAUGUCUGGGAAAGGGUAGGACAUACAAAUUGCUUUCUUUCCCCAUCAGCUUUACCUGAAGCCUCGUCCCUAAUGUGGUAGGGUCCCUUCCCUAAGGAAAGAAAAAACAAAAAACCUCAAGGUAAUCUAUGUGCAUAUGUGACAACAUCCCUCAUGACCUUGUAACAACAUGAGACCACUUAAUCAGACUGCAUGUUUGUAUGUGUUACCAUAUAUGGGAGACAAAGAAGAAAAUAUAUAAAAAACCAUGCCAUGUGGCAUUCAGGGCUCAGUUCUUCGGGUAUGAAGCCAACUGAGUGGUGCCGGCAGGAAUAAAGUUGCUUCCUGGAAAGAAAAGCCUUGGUGUCAUGACUCUCUGUGCGAGAAUCCUGCUACAUUACUUGGGGGCUUGUCCAGGAUUUGGAGAUGGUGCAUUUCCACCUCCUUUGCUGCAGGAGAUAUGAAUCCCGGAGGGCCGGGAGAGGCAGCCUUACCUGGAGCCAGCAGAUGGCUUGAUCCACAGGAGACUAGCCCUCCCAGUACCAGGGUGAGGACCCUGUGUACGUCAAUGGAACCCAUAAGGCCCAGGAACCAGCUCAGGGAGCGCUGCCCAUCAGACUGUUUAGCCGAAGUGGGUCCCUGGAUUCAUUACAUCAGAGUGAAGCUAGCAUCUCGAAACUGGGAGUGCAUUCCUGAUCCAUCAACACCAUGUAAGCUGACCAUACCGAAGAAGCAAUCUGCAACUCCAGAGGCUCUGGGAGACUGCAGCCCUGCUUUACUCACUCCGGAAGCUGACUAAUCUACGUGUGGCAGAAGCUUGAAGAAUCGACAGUCCGGCAAAACAAAAGACGGUCCUUGUUUUCUAUAUCUGUUUCUUUACUGUGAUGCACUGUCACACCUUGUUUCUCGCUAUUAUGAUUCUUGCUCUGCUCUUUGCCAUAGGAUUGGCUGAGGCUGCCCAGGCCUGCUAGAAAAGUGGUGAGAGGUUUCUGUUAGCACUCACCUUCCUUUUGUGGAUAGGAUACUUCGUUGGUACCAACAUGGGGAAACAAUGGCCAUAAGAGAUUAGAAAAUUAGAUCCCCACAAAUUUUCUAGUAAAACAAAAUACCCCAGUCCUACUACUGGGGUUUGGGUUCUCAAAAGCUCAAUUAUUGGGAAAAACUGUCUUGUCUGGUAGGGUAAAAGUUCAUCAUCAUCUCUGUUAAAAACUUAACAUGCCUAGGCCAAAGAUUUUAUAACUGAACUGCUCAGAAAACCCAAUGGUGGGGGACCCCAAAUUACCUUGAGCCAGGUCCCCACCCCUUUUCUAACUUCUCUCAUCUCUGAGAGGCCUGGGACAAUGUCAACACAGCAUGAAAUGGUGGGCCCCAGGUGGACUAUACUAGAUAUGUGGAAGGACAGCCUAUAUGGUACUUCCCUCAGUCUGGUCAGGGUCAUAUGUGCUGGAAACCGUUCGUCCAUCUUUCUUCCUGCUCCCACUUGCCAGAGGAAAACAUUUCGGAGUCCAAAUGUAUGGGAACAGGGAGACUUAAAGGAAACAGUGUGCCUUACAAAUUGGCAAUUAAAAAGAUGAUAAAUGGCCUCCCAAGCAUAUAAUCCAAUAUUAUGGCCCUGCCACCUGGGCAGAGGAUGGGUCCUGGGGCUACCACACUCCCAUUUACAUGCUAAACCACAUAAUCAGACUACAAGCAGUUAUAAAAAUUAUAACUGCCAAUAAAACUGCCAGAGCUCUUAACUUACUAGCCAAGCAGCAAACCAAAAUGUGCAAUACUAUCUAUGAAAAUCGCUUGGACUUAGAUUAUCUGCUUGCUUCUCGGAAAAAAAAAAAAAAUUUAUAAAAAGUUUAACUUAAGCAACUGCUGUUUUCAGAUAAAUAAUGGGGGGGAAAAGUCAUAAAAGAGAUCACAAAUCAAAUAAAAAGGAUUGUUCAUGUCCCCAUCCAGACCUGGAACAGUUGAAACCUGGGGAAUUAUUUGGAGGAUGGUUUUCAACUUUUGGGGGAUUCAAACUCUCGUAAAAAUAUCCUCCUAAUUCUGGGAGGUUGCUUAAUCCUCCCUUGCUUGGCUCCCUUGGUCUGUCUCCAGUCUCAUUGAGGCCAUGAUUUUAAAAAAAAGGAUGGCCAUUCAUGUAAUGAUGUUACAGAAAUACAAACCUCUAAACCAAGAUGAUGCUCUUUGAUCCAAAAUAGAGGCGUCCGAGCAUCAAUGGGGUAGGGUCCCCUCUCUAAGGAAAGGAAAAAACAACAACAAAAAACCAUUCAAGGUAACCUGGCUAUGUGCGUACGUGACAACAUCCCUCAUGACCUUAUAACAUGAAACCAUUUAAUCAGACUGCAUGUUUGUGUGUUAACAUACAUGGAAGACAAAGAAAUAGAAAAUAUGUAAAAAACUACGCCAUGUGGCAUUUGGAGCUCAGUUCUUUGGCACAAACCCAACAGAGUGGUGCCGGCAGGAAUAAAGUUGCUUCCUGGAAAGAAAAGCCUCGGUGUCACGACUAUGCACGAGAACCCUACUACACUAAUAGUGCACAUAAGGCGAGCAUUGCUUGCUGGGAAGAGGGAGGGCAGGUUCUGUCCACACCCUUGUAUGCUGGCUGUAAUGGUGGGGAGACUGGGCCUGUUCCUCUUAGCCACCCACUCCCUGGGGGGAUGCCACCUGCAGGACAGGGUGGGAAGGAGGUCAACUCUGUGAACACUGGGGCCAGGUGAUGCAGGGUGAGAGGUCUGUGCAGAGUGCAGACAAAACCCCACAACCUGAAAGAAAGACCCAGCUCAACAAUGCUCUUUUCAAGUGCCCAUGCUCAAACCUAACAGGCCUUCACCUGGCCCUGCAGCUCCAGUCUCACACCUUGAGCCCACCUUCCACUUUACACCAGAGGGCACUUCCUGAAACGCUAGCCCAUUUGCAUCCCUCCUCUUCUCAAAAUCCUCAGUGGCUCCCUCGUGGUUAAAUCUGUGCUUUUCAAAUAAUGAAAAAAGGACCUUUAUUGAGUUCUGAAAUCAAUUUAGUGAAUUGCAAUCAGCAUUAAAAAAAUUGAAUGGAUGGGGCGCCUGGGUGGCUUGGUCGGUUAAGCGUCCGACUUCAGCUCAGGUCAUGAUCUCACAGUUCGUGAGUUCGAGCCC
This is a long non-coding RNA of Felis catus (domestic cat), 8729 nucleotides long. RefSeq lists it as uncharacterized. The transcript is spliced from 3 exons. NCBI's taxonomy places the organism in Eukaryota, Metazoa, Chordata, Mammalia, Carnivora, Felidae. The record is from RefSeq and is a predicted model, not a curated record.